RNAcentral lists this ribosomal RNA (484 nucleotides) under uncultured bacterium. RNAcentral's name for it is "partial 16S ribosomal RNA". It matches the Rfam family "Bacterial small subunit ribosomal RNA", at positions 30 to 507 of the family's 1533-position model. The record is from RNAcentral.
AUCGAACGCUGGCGGCAGGCUUAACACAUGCAAGUCGAGCGGAAGAAGGGAGCUUUUUUUUGGUUCCAGCGUCGGACGGGUGAGUAACGCCCAGGAAUCUGCCUGGCUGUGGGGGAUAACGACUGGAAACGGGCGCUAAUACCGCCUACGACCUGAGGGAGCAAGAGGGGGAUCUUUGGACCGCAUCCUCUCAGAUGAGCCUAGGCCGGAUUAGCUAGCUGGUGGGCUAAAGGCCUACCUAGCCGACGAUUCGUAACUAGUCUGAGAGGAUGGUCACUCACACUGGAACUGAGACACGGUCCAGACUCCUAAGAGAGGCAGCAGUAGGGAAUGUUAGACAAUGGGCGGAAGCCUUAUCCAGCCAGGGCGCGUCUGAGAAGAAGGUCUUCGGAUCGUAAAGCACUUUAAGUUGGGAGAAAGCGCAGUAAGUUGAUACGUUGCGGUUUUGACGGUACCGGCAAAAUAAGCACCGGCUAACUACGUG